RNAcentral lists this ribosomal RNA (604 nucleotides) under Brevibacterium sp. CMT42. RNAcentral's name for it is "bacterial SSU rRNA". It matches the Rfam family "Bacterial small subunit ribosomal RNA", at positions 272 to 885 of the family's 1533-position model. Lineage: Bacteria; Bacillati; Actinomycetota; Actinomycetes; Micrococcales; Brevibacteriaceae. The record is from RNAcentral.
GACGACGACGGGUAGCCGGCCUGAGAGGGCGACCGGCCACACUGGGACUGAGACACGGCCCAGACUCCUACGGGAGGCAGCAGUGGGGAAUAUUGCACAAUGGGSGAWACCCUGAUGCAGCGACGCAGCGUGCGGGAUGACGGCCUUCGGGUUGUAAACCGCUUUCAGCAGGGAAGAAGCGCAAGUGACGGUACCUGCAGAAGAAGUACCGGCUAACUACGUGCCAGCAGCCGCGGUAAUACGUAGGGUACGAGCGUUGUCCGGAAUUAUUGGGCGUAAAGAGCUCGUAGGUGGUUGGUCACGUCUGCUGUGGAAACGCAACGCUUAACGUUGCGCGUGCAGUGGGUACGGGCUGACUAGAGUGCAGUAGGGGAGUCUGGAAUUCCUGGUGUAGCGGUGAAAUGCGCAGAUAUCAGGAGGAACACCGGUGGCGAAGGCGGGACUCUGGGCUGUAACUGACACUGAGGAGCGAAAGCAUGGGGAGCGAACAGGAUUAGAUACCCUGGUAGUCCAUGCCGUAAACGUUGGGCACUAGGUGUGGGGGGCAUUCCACGUUCUCCGCGCCGUAGCUAACGCAUUAAGUGCCCCGCCUGGGGGAGUACGG